UUGCUUGGGUACUCGAGUGGCGAACGGGUGAGUAACACGUGGGUGAUCUGCCCUGCACUUCGGGAUAAGCCUGGGAAACUGGGUCUAAUACCGGAUAGGACGAUGGUUUGGAUGCCAUUGUGGAAAGUUUUUUCGGUGUGGGAUGAGCUCGCGGCCUAUCAGCUUGUUGGUGGGGUAAUGGCCUACCAAGGCGUCGACGGGUAGCCGGCCUGAGAGGGUGUACGGCCACAUUGGGACUGAGAUACGGCCCAGACUCCUACGGGAGGCAGCAGUGGGGAAUAUUGCACAAUGGGCGCAAGCCUGAUGCAGCGACGCCGCGUGGGGGAUGACGGCCUUCGGGUUGUAAACUCCUUUCGCUAGGGACGAAGCGUUUUUGUGACGGUACCUGGAGAAGAAGCACCGGCUAACUACGUGCCAGCAGCCGCGGUAAUACGUAGGGUGCGAGCGUUGUCCGGAAUUACUGGGCGUAAAGAGCUCGUAGGUGGUUUGUCGCGUCGUUUGUGUAAGCCCGCAGCUUAACUGCGGGACUGCAGGCGAUACGGGCAUAACUUGAGUGCUGUAGGGGAGACUGGAAUUCCUGGUGUAGCGGUGGAAUGCGCAGAUAUCAGGAGGAACACCGAUGGCGAAGGCAGGUCUCUGGGCAGUAACUGACGCUGAGGAGCGAAAGCAUGGGUAGCGAACAGGAUUAGAUACCCUGGUAGUCCAUGCCGUAAACGGUGGGCGCUAGGUGUGAGUCCCUUCCACGGGGUUCGUGCCGUAGCUAACGCAUUAAGCGCCCC
Molecule: ribosomal RNA, 779 nt
Filed under: Corynebacterium mucifaciens
Lineage: Bacteria; Bacillati; Actinomycetota; Actinomycetes; Mycobacteriales; Corynebacteriaceae
Description: bacterial SSU rRNA
Rfam family: Bacterial small subunit ribosomal RNA
Source: RNAcentral